GAAAGAGUUUAGGCAUUGUAUUACACACUCAUUUUAACCAUGGCAUGCUAUUGUACAACAUGUCUUGACGGAAAUAAUUUCGAUAAAAAAUAUUUGCAGUAAAUAAUUUUUCUAUUGCGAAUCGUUUGUAUCUUUUUAUCUUUAUUCUGAAAUGCCCCUCUUAAGAAUAAUGUCAUGUAUAGCUGGUUUAGAAUUAAGAAUGAUGAUAUGUUCUAACAGCAUUUUGUCAUGUCAUUUACUGUACUUCUUAACCUACAUGUAUUUGAAUAUUAGUUUAAACCUAUUUAUUUUAGCUCGAUUGCAUAGAAAGUAAUUCCUACUUAUUUUAAAUGCUUUCGAGUCCGUUUCCUGGGCCUAGAACCAGUAUUUGAAUAUUCAGUCCCCAUAUAACUACGCCCAUAUGUUGUGGACAUUUUCAUACAAGAAUACAAACAGGAAUAUGUAUUGAAGUUUGCUUUUUAAAUUGACAGUCAAUCGGAGGGUAACAGGUUGUUUUUUUUUACAAGAAGUGAGGAACUAAACACAAUUUGCAGGAAAAAAAAAUAUUUCUUUAAGUAUAUUUGCAUCACAGGAGCUCUGGUGUCCUGAGGUUGAGGAAACUAGUGUUGAAUCUAAAACAUUUAGCAUCAUGUACUCAAAAGUGAGAAGCCAAGUCAGACACCGCAAAAUGUAAAAUAAUCUGUCAGAUGUUUGGUCUGACAGGCUACGAAAUUCUGUCAGACUGAAGGAUAAUUUCUGGAUUCCGCUUAUUAACAUACCUGAUAAUAGCAUAUUUCUGUUAUUAGCAUAUAGAAUGUCAAAGCACAGAUUAAUUCUUAAAUUUUAAUGUAUUUUUCUUCUAUUAAUAGCAUAAUUUUUAACCCCAAUAUUCAGAAUUCACUUAAAGUCUUUAUAGCAUAGAACAUUCUCAGAAUGCCAAGAAAAUAUGCUUUAAAUUUGCAAAAAUAUGCUCAAAUGCAAAUGCAAAUACCUAAGAAUACAAUUCCAUUUGAUAAAUAGUUAUCUUAAACAUCAAUCAUAUACAAUGUUGAAUUUAAAUUUCACUUUGACGAUCAAUUAUUAACAGAUUUGACUUAUUGUAUGCCCCCAGUUGCUAUAUUUAUGCUAAAAUGUGUGUUCCGGUUAAUAGCAUAUUCCUGUUAUUAGCAUAAUUUUGGCUGACAUGGUAUGCUAAGAACAGGAUUCCACUGUAGCAACAUAUUAAUCAGGAAUUAUGGUUUGAAUCCGUGAACUAUUAUUUUUAAUGGUGAAAGAAAAUCUCCAUGACGCGUUUUCAAAAAUUCCUAAUCAAGCUUGGUAAAAGAGCACACAGAAUAGCAAAUUUAUUACAGCGCCAACUUACGGGUAAAAAUGAUUGAUUUUUUUUAUAUUCCGUAAAGACAAAUGCCGCAUCAUAUCCUAUGGGUGAUUUAAAAAUUAAUGAAGCCUAAAUAAAACAUGCAUUUAUUUUCUUACCAUUAAGCAUGUUUGAGUUCUUUUUCUAUCUUACAGAAGUGUUUCCAUGUGAUUAACUUAAAUGUGAAAAUUCUUCUCAAUAACUUUCUUCAUUAACAAAAUAUAUUGAAAAAUAUCCUUAAAAUUGCCCCAAGUGUACUGGUUUUGCGUGACAUUUUAUGUAAAAGGCAAUUUUCAAUUCUAUACUUCAAUAAAACUUUCAGAAAUAUUAGGUAUUGCCAUCAUUUAAUGAAUAUAAAAAUUCAUAUGCUUUAAGAAAAAUAAAACAAUGCUUCUUACUUAGGUUGAUAUCUUUUGUAGCAAGUGUUCAAAGCAAUGAUGUUCUUGUCAAUUUUGUGCCACAAUUUUCAACUCUCUUCAUGUAUAUUAAGAGAUGGGAUCAUAAAGUGCUUCAAUAUUUAUAGGCAAAAAGUGUCCUUUUAACCUGUCACAUGUUUUUUCUACACAUUUGUACAGGUAUUUAUACAAUUAUUUGUUCAUGUAAAUUUUGAACAGCUGAAUACUAAAUGUGGUCAGAAUUUGUCCCUGUCACAAGUGUACAUUUUGCAAGAAAGUUAUUUUAAAUUUUUCAUAAGAUAGAAUUUUCAAGGUUUUACAUCAUUUUCUUCAAACCAUUAAUGCUUAUCACUAGAUGUACUGAAAAUUUGAUGCCAAAACCUUGUGAACUUUUUUUGCAAGACAAAUAUUGCAUUGUACCAAGUGUACGAAUUUUUUAUCAUGUUUGAUGGACAGGUGAUAGCUUUUAAAAAAUAAACAAAGGCACUAAUUUUCUGGAAAGAAGUACACAGAAGAUGUAAUCUCCAAGAGAAAAAGGUGUUGUCUUCACUCUGGGGGUUAACUACUCUUAUUAUAUGGGUGGACUUCAAUAUGUAUGAUCUACUUAUGCUGCCACAAUGUAAAGGCAACAAUCACUGGGUUUUGCUGUUUGCAAGUGUUAUGUCCAGGACUGUAACCAUUUACGACUCGUUGGGUGGUAACAACAAGGCAUUGUUCGAUUUGUUCUGCCAGUUCAUGUGUCAACGAGCGCAAAUUGUGAACGAUGGCUUGGAAAAAAUUCAGUUCAGAGUUCAAAGCGCCACCUUGCAACAAACAGCGCCAUGGAAACAGCUGUGGAGUGUUUGCAUUGAUGACUGCCAAAUGUAUGGUCAUGAAAAAGCAUCCCACAAUGUUGCGACAGGCCCAUGAUUCAGCUUAUCAAGACUAGUCGUGAGACGCAGACUUCUGAUUCAUGGAGUGCGGCAAACAUAUCUGUGUGACUCGAUCACUCCACUGUAAAGACCCGCACGGCAUUAAAAUGGAUAUUAUCAAUAUGUGUUGUUGCUCGAAAAUAUGUUUUGUAGCAGGAAGUGCUUUGGGCUCGAUUAAUCUGAGAACUCAACAAAAUAUUAAUAAAAUCCUUCUGUGCCUUUUAGUUCUGAAAACAGAAGUAGCCAGUUGGUAUUACACAUCUCCUAAACAAGUACAGCACAAUAAAACUGAAGGUUUUAAAUCCUACAUUU
Dreissena polymorpha is the source of this 2954-nucleotide RNA transcript. RefSeq lists it as uncharacterized. The record is from RefSeq and is a predicted model, not a curated record. The transcript is spliced from 4 exons. Lineage: Eukaryota; Metazoa; Mollusca; Bivalvia; Myida; Dreissenidae.